Non-coding RNA from Cinara cedri, 414 nucleotides. NCBI's taxonomy places the organism in Eukaryota, Metazoa, Arthropoda, Insecta, Hemiptera, Aphididae. The record is from the annotation of a GenBank genome assembly.
AGUUUAAAUGGUUAGUUAACUUGUAUUGAUAAAUAGUUACAAAAAAUUAACUUAAGUCCUUCUUCCCCGUGACCGAAGUUUUAUUAACAUAAUUUAAACAUUUAUUUUUUGAAAAGUCAGUUUUAUACACAGAAAUAAUGGUAAUAUACGACAUUCCAAAAGUGUUUUUAUAGUUUAAAAAUUAUUAUAAUAUAAAAAAAAAAAAUUUUUAGUAAAUUACAUUUCUCCGUCCAAACGCGAUAUAAAAUAUAAACCGCUGUUUUCACGAAAAAAACAAAUUUGUAUUUCGGUUAACUCACCCGAACCAUAGUAGACAUAUUCAAUACAUAUAUCGAGAAUAUUUUACCGAAUCGGAUAGCUCAAAACAUAAUGUACGGACGAUAAAACAAUCAUUUGGUGAUAAUCUGGUAUGGG